GGCCUUGACAUACUAAGAACUUUCCAGAGAUGGAUUGGUGCCUUCGGGAACUUAGAUACAGGUGCUGCAUGGCUGUCGUCAGCUCGUGUCGUGAGAUGUUGGGUUAAGUCCCGCAACGAGCGCAACCCUUUUCCUUAUUUGCCAGCGGGUCAUGCCGGGAACUUUAAGGAUACUGCCAGUGACAAACUGGAGGAAGGCGGGGACGACGUCAAGUCAUCAUGGCCCUUACGGCUAGGGCUACACACGUGCUACAAUGGUCGGUACAAAGGGUUGCUACCUCGCGAGAGGAUGCUAAUCUCAAAAAGCCGAUCGUAGUCCGGAUCGCAGUCUGCAACUCGACUGCGUGAAGUCGGAAUCGCUAGUAAUCGCGGAUCAGAAUGCCGCGGUGAAUACGUUCCCGGGCCUUGUACACACCGCCCGUCACACCAUGGGAGUUUGUUGCACCAGAAGUAGGUAGUCUAACCGCAAGGAGGACGCUUACCACGGUGUGGCCGAUGACUGGGGUGAAGUCGUAACAAGGUAGGCGUAGAUGA
This 533-nucleotide ribosomal RNA is filed under the name uncultured bacterium. Its description in RNAcentral is "bacterial SSU rRNA". It matches the Rfam family "Bacterial small subunit ribosomal RNA", at positions 977 to 1509 of the family's 1533-position model. The record is from RNAcentral.